RNAcentral lists this ribosomal RNA (465 nucleotides) under Vreelandella stevensii. RNAcentral describes it as "partial 16S ribosomal RNA". It matches the Rfam family "Bacterial small subunit ribosomal RNA", at positions 338 to 795 of the family's 1533-position model. Lineage: Bacteria; Pseudomonadati; Pseudomonadota; Gammaproteobacteria; Oceanospirillales; Halomonadaceae. The record is from RNAcentral.
CCUACGGGUGGCUGCAGUGGGGAAUAUUGGACAAUGGGGGGAACCCUGAUCCAGCCAUGCCGCGUGUGUGAAGAAGGCCCUCGGGUUGUAAAGCACUUUCAGUGAGGAAGAACGCCUGGUGGUUAAUACCCAUCAGGAAAGACAUCACUCACAGAAGAAGCACCGGCUAACUCCGUGCCAGCAGCCGCGGUAAUACGGAGGGUGCGAGCGUUAAUCGGAAUUACUGGGCGUAAAGCGCGCGUAGAUGGCUUGAUAAGCCGGUUGUGAAAGCCCCGGGCUCAACCUGGGAACGGCAUCCGGAACUGUCAAGCUAGAGUGCAGGAGAGGAAGGUAGAAUUCCCGGUGUAGCGGUGAAAUGCGUAGAGAUCGGGAGGAAUACCAGUGGCGAAGGCGGCCUUCUGGACUGACACUGACACUGAGGUGCGAAAGCGUGGGUAGCAAACAGGAUUAGAUACCCGAGUAGUC